CUUGUGGAUGGGAAAAGUUCUAGAAAUUACGCUUUGAAAAUAUAUUUAGGACAGGCGAUGUGUCUUAUUAUUUUACAUUUGCACAAGGGAAGAGAAGAAACUGCUCGUUGUAUAACGAUGAAAAUAGGGCAGAUGAAAUGCAUCGAAUCCAUUUUCUUCUCAGGAGAAAGCAGAAAACAAAAAAGUGCUCGGCAGAAGAAAAGAGGAAAACAGUAGCCAUCAACAAUUCAUGUAGAGAAAUUUUCAAUCACAACGCAAACUAUGCUAAUAACCCAACCACCACAUUAUCUACAUAUGUGACAUUUUAAAUGAUGAAAAGAUAUUUAAUACUGUAAUUCUUGAACACAUGUAUAUUCCAGACAUGUCUCGUUACUCUUAAACUGGAACAAAUUUUUAAUGCAUAGCACAUGUGGAGUCUAAUUGAAGACGGGUUACUAGCUACUAAAGGAGAUUUUUCUUCAUCGUUUUAGCCUUUUAUACCCAGGCGGUAAUUAUUCGAGCAUUGCACUAGUGCAUCAUGGUUCCCUGUUCAUUUAAGAUGUGGUCAGUGGCAAUGAAAUGGGAAAGUCAGCUCACCAGAAGAAACGUUUUUUAUAAUCUAUGACUAAAAUUCUUCAACAAGAAAUGGGUUUUAAAUUUUUUAAAGCAUCAUGUCUGUCAACCAAUCUUGUCUUAAUCGAAUCAAGGAAAGUGAAACAACACAAAAAUGAAAUAAUCCUUAAAACGCGAUUACAUAGGAAUGAGUCAUGUCUUAAUGACAACGUCACAAGCGAUGAAAUACUGAUGAACUAAGACACGCAACAAACACUACAGAAAGGAAAAAUUCAACAUUCUUAUACACCUCACACACCAUGUAGUUUUUGAGCUGUUUGAAGUCGCAUUUAGCAAGAUAGUGUUGUGUUAGCAACCUAAAAACAGAUUCAAAAAUUACAAAUGUAAACAACUCUUGGGCAUAAAUGAUAAAGAAACAGGAAAACGCUUUACUUAUGUAAAUAGAAGCUAAGUAGAAUAAGAGAGAUAACUGCUCAAAGUGGCCAAAUGAAGCGCAUUUCUUGCAGAGACUAACUGAAGACGAGUGAUAUGAUCGUGUCACUUAUUGAGAAAAGCACACUAUCUGAAAUUGACAAUUAUCAAGGAAUGAAAAAAUUCUUUCUGGAAUUAACUUUCACCUUGAAUUAUAUUUCGUGCAGACGUAUAGAAAAAACACGAGAGGGAAACAAAUAGAAAAAGACCAUUUAUAGAUUAUAUUUUAUGAAUAUUUUUUACAGGAUUCGAAUAAUUUCCAUACAGUUAAAUUCUCGAACGGAUCAACAUAAAUAUUCCGACAAAUUUACCAUAAACGCGCACGAUUUGUAAGGUGACGAUGUAUGAUGUAAAACUUGGGGUGAUGAAACAGAAGACAUUAAAAACACGGUGUUAUUAAAAAAAAA
This is a long non-coding RNA of Xenia sp. Carnegie-2017, 1430 nucleotides long. RefSeq lists it as uncharacterized. The transcript is spliced from 2 exons. NCBI's taxonomy places the organism in Eukaryota, Metazoa, Cnidaria, Anthozoa, Malacalcyonacea, Xeniidae. The record is from RefSeq and is a predicted model, not a curated record.